GGACAAGUCAUAAUUCAUAACACAAAUACACAAUUCAGUUCAAGGCUUCAAGCACAGACACACACUGACACACAUAGUUCACUAGUUCACUUCAGCACCACAAAUGGACAAGUCAUAAUUCAUAACGCAAUUCAGUUCAAGGCUUCAAGCACACACAGCCACACACAUAGUUCACUAGUUCAGCACCCAGCCGGCAGCCACACACACAGACAUAGUUCAGCACAGUAGUCAGUAGCACACAACCACACACAGUUCAUAAUAAAGGUUACAUGGAGCUGGAGCAGCAGCAGUCACCCGGCCGGUCACCCCAGUCCCCAGAUGGCCAGAUCAGUCCAGAGAGAUUAUGUCAUUGUCAUCAACUUGGAGGCAUCCAUGUUCUACAAUUACACAGAAAAAAAGACAAACUGUAAGAAAAGUUACAUGAUCAACAAAAUAAUGAAAAUACACAACCGUUUAUUUUAGUACCUUCCUCUAGUUAGGUCAACUCCGCAAGAUCAGCUUCAAUGUUGAUACACUUACGGCGCAACCAAUCUUGGGUACAUAUCAAGGUUUGGAGUGUCAUUGGUGUCAAAGAGCUUCUAAAGUCAUCUAGAAUACGCCCACUGGUACUGAAAGCUGAUUCAGAAGCAAUCGUUGAGAUUGGUAUUGCUAGUAUGUCACGGGCCAAUUUUGAAAGGACCGGAAAGCGAGCGGAAUUAGCCUUCCACCAAUAAAGAAUGUCAAAAUCAGAAGAUAGCUCCUCUGUAUCCUCCGCUAAGUACUUGUCUAAUUCAGUUCUGGUAUUUGGUAUUUGUACUAGAAUCUCUAUUACCAACUCACAUUCUCUUGCUGUACCGUGAUCUCAUAAGAGAAUUUUCAGAUGCAUUUACACUAGCUUGAGAUUGUGAUAUUGAUUCACUAGCACUAGCGGUAGCAGUACCAUAUAUUGCUUUGUAUUCUUGAAACAAAGAGACAAAUUCUUUGUGUGAAGAAGCCAAGAUCCUGUUACCUAUGAUACUGCUGUACGUGUCUUCAAUUAGGCCCUUAAAGAAAUGAGAUUCCUUCGUCC
RNAcentral lists this long non-coding RNA (1048 nucleotides) under Brachypodium distachyon (stiff brome). RNAcentral describes it as "long non-coding RNA (BDIS_LNC000875)". Lineage: Eukaryota; Viridiplantae; Streptophyta; Magnoliopsida; Poales; Poaceae. The record is from RNAcentral.